GGGAAUGUGGCUUAGUGGUAGAGUGCUUGCCUAGUAUGCUUGAAGCCCUGGGUUCAAUUCCUCAGUACCA
Molecule: non-coding RNA, 70 nt
Organism: Dipodomys ordii (Ord's kangaroo rat)
Lineage: Eukaryota; Metazoa; Chordata; Mammalia; Rodentia; Heteromyidae
Source: Rfam